Molecule: transfer RNA, 73 nt
Filed under: Capra hircus (goat)
Lineage: Eukaryota; Metazoa; Chordata; Mammalia; Artiodactyla; Bovidae
Also listed under: 1 other name
Rfam family: tRNA
About the family: Transfer RNA (tRNA) molecules are approximately 80 nucleotides in length. Their secondary structure includes four short double-helical elements and three loops (D, anti-codon, and T loops).
Source: Rfam by way of RNAcentral
CCUCUGGUGGUCCAGUGGCUAAGACUCCUGCUUCCAAUGCAGAUGGGCCUGGGUUCAAUCCCUGGUCAGGGAA